CGGACCGGCGCACGGGUGAGUAACGCGUAUGCAACCUGCCCGUUUCAGCGGGAUAACCCGGAGAAAUCCGGCCUAAUACCGCAUGUGGCCGAGGGGAGGCAUCUUCUUUCGGCCAAAGGAGGCGACUCCGGAGACGGAUGGGCAUGCGUGACAUUAGCUUGUUGGCGGGGUAACGGCCCACCAAGGCGACGAUGUCUAGGGGUUCUGAGAGGAAGGUCCCCCACACUGGUACUGAGACACGGACCAGACUCCUACGGGAGGCAGCAG
This 267-nucleotide ribosomal RNA is filed under the name uncultured bacterium. RNAcentral's name for it is "partial 16S ribosomal RNA". It matches the Rfam family "Bacterial small subunit ribosomal RNA", at positions 91 to 354 of the family's 1533-position model. The record is from RNAcentral.